UACGAAGGGGGCGAGCGUUGUUCGGAUUUACUGGGCGUAAAGGGCGCGCAGGCGGUUCUGUUUGUCGAGUGUGAAAGCCCCGGGCUCAACCUGGGAACUGCGCUCGAAACGGCGGAACUAGAGUUCGGGAGAGGAGAGUGGAAUUCCCAGUGUAGAGGUGAAAUUCGUAGAUAUUCGCAAGAACACCAGUGGCGAAGGCGGCUCACUGGCCCGAUACUGACGCUGAGGCACGAAAGCGUGGGGAGCAAACAGG
Molecule: ribosomal RNA, 253 nt
Filed under: uncultured bacterium
Lineage: Bacteria
Description: partial 16S ribosomal RNA
Rfam family: Bacterial small subunit ribosomal RNA
Source: RNAcentral